UACGAAGGGGGCUAGCGUUGUUCGGAAUUACUGGGCGUAAAGGGCGCGCAGGCGGUCCUUCAAGUCAGGCGUGAAAGCCCCGGGCUCAACCUGGGAAUAGCGCUUGAGACUGAGGGACUUGAGUUCGGGAGAGGUGAGUGGAAUGCCGAGUGUAGAGGUGAAAUUCGUAGAUAUUCGGCGGAACACCAGUGGCGAAGGCGACUCACUGGCCCGAUACUGACGCUGAGGCGCGAAAGCGUGGGGAGCAAACAGG
RNAcentral lists this ribosomal RNA (253 nucleotides) under uncultured bacterium. RNAcentral describes it as "partial 16S ribosomal RNA". It matches the Rfam family "Bacterial small subunit ribosomal RNA", at positions 524 to 776 of the family's 1533-position model. The record is from RNAcentral.